Molecule: ribosomal RNA, 738 nt
Filed under: uncultured bacterium
Lineage: Bacteria
Description: bacterial SSU rRNA
Rfam family: Bacterial small subunit ribosomal RNA
Source: RNAcentral
GAGUUGAUCAUGGCUCGAGUGAACGCUGGCGGCAGGCCUAACACAUGCAAGUCGAACGGCAGCACAGCCCCGCAAGGGGUGGGUGGCGAGUGGCGGACGGGUGAGGAAUACAUGGGAAUCUACCCUGUCGUGGGGGAUAACGUAGGGAAACUUACGCUAAUACCGCAUACGACCGAGAGGUGAAAGCGGCGGACCGCAAGGCGUCGCGCGACUGGAUGAGCCCAUGUCGGAUUAGCUAGUUGGCGGGGUAAAGGCCCACCAAGGCGACGAUCCGUAGCUGGUCUGAGAGGAUGAUCAGCCACACUGGAACUGAGACACGGUCCAGACUCCUACGGGAGGCAGCAGUGGGGAAUAUUGGACAAUGGGCGCAAGCCUGAUCCAGCCAUGCCGCGUGGGUGAAGAAGGCCUUCGGGUUGUAAAGCCCUUUUGUCCGGAAAGAAAAGCUUCGGGUUAAUACCCCGGGGUCCUGACGGUACCGGAAGAAUAAGCACCGGCUAACUUCGUGCCAGCAGCCGCGGUAAUACGAAGGGUGCAAGCGUUACUCGGAAUUACUGGGCGUAAAGCGUGCGUAGGUGGUUUGUUAAGUCUGAUGUGAAAGCCCUGGGCUCAACCUGGGAAUUGCAUUGGAUACUGGCAGGCUAGAGUGCGGUAGAGGGUAGUGGAUUCCCGGUGUAGCAGUGAAUGCGUAGAGAUGGGAGGAACCCAGUGGCGAAGCGACUACUGGACAGCACUGACCUG